GCCGGGCAUGGUGAUGCAGGCCUGUAAUCCCAGAGACUCAGGAGGCUGAGACAGGAGGAUCAUGAGUUCAAAGUCAGCCUCAGUAAAAGAGAGGCACUAAGCAACUCAGUGAGACCCUGUCUCUA
RNAcentral lists this small RNA (125 nucleotides) under Marmota monax (woodchuck). Lineage: Eukaryota; Metazoa; Chordata; Mammalia; Rodentia; Sciuridae. The record is from RNAcentral.